AUGAUAGACAUUCACUACCAUGACAUGAAGAAAAAAAUUAACCGCAAGGAGGACCAUACUCUGUGGGGAUUUUGCCCGCUGCCAGAAAAGAUUAUCAAGUAUGCAACAAUAGAUGCAUUCGCAACAUAUCAGUCAUGGAGAAUCAUCUACGAUAUCAUAAUGGGACUGGACAGGGCAAAAAGAGAAAAAGAAGCAAAGAAGAAGAAGAACAAGGCCGCAGCAAGCCGUGUCGCUGCCUGCUCCAGCUUGUUCCAGGCUCGGCCUCCCAGGGGGAUGGGGAGGGGGGGUCACAACCCCCCCUCCCCACCCCCUGCUCGGCCUCGCGCUAACGCAUGCAACGCAGUGCAGACAUUCUGUUUUUGCAUCAAAGGGGACGCACGCAACCCCCGGAGCCACACCCCUAAGAUAGACAGGGGGCGACGGGGUUUGACGGACUCGCCUACACAUGCCGCGGCGCCGCCUGCUCCGGCUCGUUCCAGGCUCGGCCUCGCAGGGGGAUGGGGAGGGGGGUCACGAUGCCCCCUCCCCACCCCCUUCUCAGCCUCGCGCUAA
Molecule: ribosomal RNA, 552 nt
Filed under: Triticum aestivum (bread wheat)
Lineage: Eukaryota; Viridiplantae; Streptophyta; Magnoliopsida; Poales; Poaceae
Description: partial small subunit ribosomal RNA
Source: RNAcentral